AAAUUGAAGAGUUUGAUCAUGGCUCAGAUUGAACGCUGGCGGCAGGCCUAACACAUGCAAGUCGAACGGUAACAGGAAGCAGCUUGCUGCUUCGCUGACGAGUGGCGGACGGGUGAGUAAUGUCUGGGAAACUGCCUGAUGGAGGGGGAUAACUACUGGAAACGGUGGCUAAUACCGCAUAACGUCGCAAGACCAAAGAGGGGGACCUUCGGGCCUCUUGCCAUCAGAUGUGCCCAGAUGGGAUUAGCUUGUUGGUGAGGUAACGGCUCACCAAGGCGACGAUCCCUAGCUGGUCUGAGAGGAUGACCAGCCACACUGGAACUGAGACACGGUCCAGACUCCUACGGGAGGCAGCAGUGGGGAAUAUUGCACAAUGGGCGCAAGCCUGAUGCAGCCAUGCCGCGUGUAUGAAGAAGGCCUUCGGGUUGUAAAGUACUUUCAGCGGGGAGGAAGGUGUUGUGGUU
Molecule: ribosomal RNA, 464 nt
Filed under: Salmonella enterica
Lineage: Bacteria; Pseudomonadati; Pseudomonadota; Gammaproteobacteria; Enterobacterales; Enterobacteriaceae
Also listed under: 1 other name
Description: bacterial SSU rRNA
Rfam family: Bacterial small subunit ribosomal RNA
Source: RNAcentral